AACGAACGCUGGCGGCAGGCCUAACACAUGCAAGUCGAGCGCACCUUCGGGUGAGCGGCGGACGGGUUAGUAACGCGUGGGAACAUACCCCUUUCUACGGAAUAGCCUCGGGAAACUGAGAGUAAUACCGUAUACGCCCUUCGGGGGAAAGAUUUAUCGGUGAGGGAUUGGCCCGCGUUAGAUUAGAUAGUUGGUGGGGUAAUGGCCUACCAAGUCUACGAUCUAUAGCUGGUUUUAGAGGACGAUCAGCAACACUGGGACUGAGACACGGCCCAGACUCCUACGGGAGGCAGCAGUGGGGAAUCUUAGACAAUGGGCGAAAGCCUGAUCUAGCCAUGCCGCGUGAGUGAUGAAGGCCUUAGGGUCGUAAAGCUCUUUCGCCCAGG
Molecule: ribosomal RNA, 386 nt
Filed under: uncultured bacterium
Lineage: Bacteria
Description: bacterial SSU rRNA
Rfam family: Bacterial small subunit ribosomal RNA
Source: RNAcentral